This 1288-nucleotide unclassified non-coding RNA is filed under the name Hevea brasiliensis (rubber tree). The record is from RNAcentral. Lineage: Eukaryota; Viridiplantae; Streptophyta; Magnoliopsida; Malpighiales; Euphorbiaceae.
GCCAUCCCAUUGAUAUUUUCCCCCUUUCUCAGUUUUUCGCUCCUAAUUCAUACUUGCACUUCCCUCUGCAACAACUAGCUACCACUCGCACAAAUCCUAAAACUCUCUAGCUCCUUACAAUGACUCUCUCCCUCUGCUGCGCCAAAUCCCUUAUCUUUCUCUUCAUCCUCUCAGCCAUCCCCGUCGCCUUUAUCAUCUCUCUUGAGCUGGCCAAGCCCAACACCCAUGUCUUCUACUAUCACAGUUCCGGCUUCUUCCGCGAGUGCGCCAAGUGGGACGAUCUUAACCGUCGAUUUAUCGUCUCCUUCUUGGAUGGUGGAGUCGGAGAAAUUCGCGUGCCCGACGAUUACUCUCCUGGUACUGUUUUACAGGAGGCUACUGUGGUGAAAGACUUUGACGUAGCCGGGAACUCUUCGGUUGGUAUCGUAGUCGACCCCCCGAGGAAUCGGCUGCUCGUGGUAAACGCCGACGUUCUGGGAAACAAGUAUAGUGGGCUUGCGGCUUAUGAUUUGUCAACUUGGGAUCGUCUGUUCCUUACGCAUCUGAGUGGCCCAAAUGAUGAGAAAUCCUUUGCGGAUGAUGUUGCAGUUGAUGCAGAAGGUAAUGCAUAUAUUACUGAUGCAAAAACCAGUAAAAUUUGGAAGGUUGGGAAGGAUGGCGAAUUCCUAUCUAUUAUCAGAAGUCCACUCUUCAUUCAAAAACAGUGGUACAAAAACCUGGUUGCACUUAAUGGAAUUGUUUACCACCCAGAUGGGUUCUUGAUCGUCAUUCAUACUUUCACUGGCAAUUUGUAUAAGAUUGAUCUUGCCAAGGAUGUUGAUGUGAAGUUAAUUAAGGUAACUGAAGGAUCACUGUCAUUUGGAGAUGGUCUGGAGUUAUUGUCGCCUACUAAGCUCGUGGUUGCAGGAAAUCCUUCAGGGAGAUUAGUGGAGAGCUCUGAUGGGUGGGAGACUGCUUCUGUUGUCGCCAAGUUUAAAGGGCCAGCACAUCGGUUGGCCACUGCAGCAACUGUGAAGGAUGGGAGAGCUUAUCUUAGCCACAUGGUUGGGAUGGGAUAUCCUAAGAAGAAGCAUGUCAUUGUUGAGGCUGUUUUUUCUACAUGAACGAGGCAGUUUAACUUGUUAUUUUGGAUUUGUAAUGUAUCCCAACAAGGAAAUUUUCAGUUAUGUUUAUUUUUAUCCAUUCAAAGAUCCAUAGUGCCUGACCUUUUUAAUUGACGAGUGAAGGGUUGUAAUUGUACCAUAUUCUAUGAAUAUUGCAAAUCUACAAAGGAUUAUCUUGGCAAAAA